GGAGAUUUAGCUCAGUGGUAGAGUGCUUGCCUAGCAAGCGCAAGGCCCUGGGUUCGAUCCCCAGCUCUG
Molecule: transfer RNA, 69 nt
Filed under: Rattus norvegicus (Norway rat)
Lineage: Eukaryota; Metazoa; Chordata; Mammalia; Rodentia; Muridae
Rfam family: tRNA
About the family: Transfer RNA (tRNA) molecules are approximately 80 nucleotides in length.
Source: Rfam by way of RNAcentral